AUACAAGGUCAUAAAAGUGAUAAAAUGAGCUAUAGUAUGUAUACAAAGUGUAUGNUACAAGAGCUGAAUAUAUCCUAUCUCCAAAGUGUUUGAAUUUGUGGUGGAAAAGGUGGAGUAUGCUGCUGAAAACUGCACAAGAAUGCAGCUUGGAGAACAACCUUUGUGUCCAAUUCUACAAACUCUCCACUCCCUAAGAUGCUACCCUCUUGGAUGAAGCUUGUGGAACUUGGAUCACCUCAAAAUGAAGUCAUACACCUCUGUCAAACACAGAAACUGUGAGACAAAUAGGACAGCUGCUGCACCAGAAUUCAAGAAGCCAAAAACAUGAUUGCUAGCAUAGUAAGGAAGCCAAAAAUGAUGAAUUCAAGUGAUAUACAGCUGGAAUAAAAGGUAGCACACAAAAGGAGCCUAGGAAAGGAACUAGAACAGAUUAUAAAAGCAAGAAAAACUCAAAAGAAUGAGGAAAAUUCUGUGCAGUGAAACUGUUUGAUGAACUUUCCAAACUGUUUGUCAAAAUGCCACAAUGAACUGCAAACUUUGUGUUUUCUGGUUUUUUNUUUUNUUUNAUUUCUGAAAACUNGAUUGCAGGGAUUUAAUUGCUUUUUAUGCCUGUUUUAGACUUGAUUGAACAUGGAAAAUGAUUUAGGAGUGAAAUCCCAACUUUUGCCAAUCCAAAUACAACUUGAAAACUGAAAUGGUGGAUAGCAGCGUAGUAUGGCAAUUGCAACAGUAAAAGUGGCUGAAAUAUAGUGUUUUCAGGGCCAAAAGUAAGUGUUCAUGUUUGACCAGUGUAAAUGACCCUUCAAGCAACUUUCUAUCAUCAAUUGGGAUAUGUUCAAACCAGUGAAACAGCUAAGACACUGACAGAUGAAAAUUCCACUGAUUCACUUCCCAAAAUGCAAUAAAAUGUGGUGUUUUGGCUGUAUUUUUCAGCUGGAAUAAAAUAUGACCAUAUGAACAGUAAGUUCAGAUUUUAAAUCACCAAAUGGAUGUGCUAAAACAUUGAUACUGCACAGAAACAGGUUGAUGCAUCAAUGGAUAGAGACAGUUUUCAAUUAUGCAGAAUUAAAGGCACCUAAACUGCAUAAAGAGAAAAAAAAUAUGGUCUUAAAAUUGGAACUACAGUGGGUGAAUUCAGUGGCAGUGGUUAAAAGGAUCAAAUGACACCUCAAGCAAGUUUAUAUCAUCAUAAUGGAUGUGUGCAAGCACUCAAACCGCAAAGAAAACUGCCAUAGCAAAAUAUGACAUGUCCAUUUCCUCAAUUGGAGCAAAGCUACGGGUUUAAGAUGUGAUUUGGUGAAAUGGUGCAAAAGUGACCAAAUGAACAUUAACAAGCAACUUUGAUGCACCAAUUAUAGGUGUGGAAACAAUCAAACUGUGCCAAAAUCCACUGAAUCACAAUUUGACUAGUUGAGUUCCAAUUUUCAAGCAAAAAUGGGAAGUCGAACUAUGAUUUUGUAGAUGUAAUGAAAAUGGACCAAGGCAACAGCUGAAACAAGUUUCAAAUGAUGGAAUACACUUGCACCAACAGUUACAAUGCACAAAAAUUCAAUGAAACUCGAAAUCACUAUAAGAAUUGCUAAUUAUGCAGCAAAAUAUACAAGACAGCAGCAGAAAUGAUCAAUAAAGUGGAUUCAAAGCUGGCUAGAUCAAUAGACGUGUAAGAAAGGCCNUAGGUAACUAGAUCUANCUAGAAUAUAGCAGCUAGCAGAUUUAAAUGGACCUAAGACCAAUCAAGGAACACUACAGCACGGUGCAAGCUGCCAAAACAGUGACAGUAAAAAAAAUACAAUGCAGAAUCAGACUUGAACACAACUGAACCACUCAAAUUCGGAUUAUGCACUUAUCGAGGGUUAUAAGCAUUUGAAAACUGAUCAAACACAUAAAACAAGCUUAUUCACAGGUGCAGAAUCAAAAAAUUUGAACCGAUAUAGGUUGCACCAGAUUAAAUCCGAAUUGGACGGUGAUGCAGUCUUUGAAAACAAAAUAUUUGAUGAUUCAAGCACUCAUUUUGAAUUUCCUUGAUGAAUACAAGUUGCAAUCAAUUUAAACACAGUCGCUAUCACCAGAAUAUCAUACUUGAAGCUUACAAUACCAAAUCAAAAUGAAAACUAAGAUUCAAAGAGCAAAACCGAGAGACGCAAUUUGCUGCAGAAUUUGGAUGCGAAAACAGUAAGCAAUGGAACAGAGUAAUGUAAGCUUCAAUGAUCAAGCACAAUCAACAUAUAGCUUGCUAUUGCUUAACCAAAAUCAACAACGAAAAGAAAAAAUUUCACGGUUGAACAGAAUAACACGUAUGGACAACAUAAAACAGCAAAGGUGUUUGCACAUGACUAUGACAUAAACUGAAAAUUGAAGAUGUAAGCUGAAUUAACCGAAAUUGAUUGACGAAGAUGCACCGUUUAAAAUGAAGAAAAAACACCUAUGGAACAGUGAAUGAAUCAAAAUAUCCACAGAAAAAAUACGAAAUCAAAACGAAACAGUGACGAAAAAAAAUUCAAGCAUAGACAGAAAGGAACAGUACAUGACAGGAAAACAGAGGAAUUGAGACGAGACACUUAGCUCUUGAAGCGUGACUGGAACGGUUGGCUCUUGAUGCCAAAUGAUGG
RNAcentral lists this long non-coding RNA (2609 nucleotides) under Vigna radiata. RNAcentral describes it as "long non-coding RNA (VRAD_LNC013857)". The record is from RNAcentral. Lineage: Eukaryota; Viridiplantae; Streptophyta; Magnoliopsida; Fabales; Fabaceae.